RNAcentral lists this unclassified non-coding RNA (336 nucleotides) under soil metagenome. RNAcentral describes it as "partial contains 5.8S ribosomal RNA, internal transcribed spacer 2, and large subunit ribosomal RNA". The stretch from base 1 to 120 matches the Rfam family "5.8S ribosomal RNA", at positions 35 to 154 of the family's 154-position model. The record is from RNAcentral.
GAUGAAGAACGCAGCGAAAUGCGAUAAGUAAUGUGAAUUGCAGAAUUCAGUGAAUCAUCGAAUCUUUGAACGCACAUUGCGCCCGCCAGUAUUCUGGCGGGCAUGCCUGUUCGAGCGUCAUUUCAACCAUCAAGCCCCCGGGCUUGUGUUGGGGACCUGCGGCUGCCGCAGGCCCUGAAAACCAGUGGCGGGCUCGCUGUCACACCGGGCGUAGUAGAUUAUAUCUCGCUCAGGGCGUGCUGCGGGUUCCGGCCGUUAAAAGCCUUUUUUACCCAAGGUUGACCUCGGAUCAGGUAGGAAUACCCGCUGAACUUAAGCAUAUCAAUAAGCGGAGGA